AUUGAACGCUGGCGGCAUGCCUUACACAUGCAAGUCGAACGGCAGCACGGGAGCAAUCCUGGUGGCGAGUGGCGAACGGGUGAGUAAAGUAUCGGAACGUGCCCAGUCGUGGGGGAUAACGUAGCGAAAGUUACGCUAAUACCGCAUACGAUCUAUGGAUGAAAGCGGGGGAUCGCAAGGCCUCGCGCGAUUGGAGCGGCCGAUAUCAGAUUAGGUAGUUGGUGGGGUAAGGGCUCACCAAGCCGACGAUCUGUAGCUGGUCUGAGAGGACGACCAGCCACACUGGGACUGAGACACGGCCCAGACUCCUACGGGAGGCAGCAGUGGGGAAUUUUGGACAAUGGGCGAAAGCCUGAUCCAGCCAUGCCGCGUGCAGGAUGAAGGCCUUCGGGUUGUAAACUGCUUUUGUACGGAACGAAAAGGUUUGGCCUAAUAAGCUGAGCUCAUGACGGUACCGUAAGAAUAAGCACCGGCUAACUACGUGCCAGCCGCCGCGGUAA
Molecule: ribosomal RNA, 500 nt
Filed under: uncultured bacterium
Lineage: Bacteria
Description: partial 16S ribosomal RNA
Rfam family: Bacterial small subunit ribosomal RNA
Source: RNAcentral